GGAUAACCGWGGUAAUUCUAGAGCUAAUACAUGCUAAAAACCUCGACUUCGGAAGGGGUGUAUUUAUUAGAUAAAAAACCAAUGCCCUCCGGGGCUCCUUGGUGAUUCAUAAUAACUUAACGAAUCGCAUGGCCUUGCGCCGGCGAUGGUUCAUUCAAAUUUCUGCCCUAUCAACUUUCGAUGGUAGGAUAGUGGCCUACCAUGGUGGCAACGGGUAACGGGGAAUUAGGGUUCUAUUCCGGAGAGGGAGCCUGAGAAACGGCUACCACAUCCAAGGAAGGCAGCAGGCGCGCAAAUUACCCAAUCCCGACACGGGGAGGUAGUGACAAUAAAUACUGAUGUGGAGCUCUUUAGGGUUUCACAAUUGGAAUGAGAAAAAUCUAAACCACUUAAACGAGGAACAAUUGGAGGGCAAGUCUGGUGCCAGCAGCCGCGGUAAUUCCAGCUCCAAUAGCGUAUAUUAAAGUUGUUGCAGUUAAAAAGCUCGUAGUUGAACCUUGGGCCUGGCCGGUCGGUCCGCCUCACCGCGUGCACUGGUUCGGCCGGGCCUUUCCUCCUGGGGAACCGCAUGCCCUUCACUGGGUGUGCCGGGGAAUCAGGACUUUUACUUUGAAAAAAUUAGAGUGUUCAAAGCAGGCAUUUGCUCGAAUACAUUAGCAUGGAAUAAUAGAAUAGGACGUUGUGGUUCUAUUUUGUUGGUUUCUAGGACCGCCGUAAUGAUUAAUAGGGACG
RNAcentral lists this ribosomal RNA (732 nucleotides) under Placopsis clavifera. RNAcentral's name for it is "SSU rRNA". It matches the Rfam family "Eukaryotic small subunit ribosomal RNA", at positions 142 to 891 of the family's 1831-position model. The record is from RNAcentral. Lineage: Eukaryota; Fungi; Ascomycota; Lecanoromycetes; Trapeliales; Trapeliaceae.